This 511-nucleotide ribosomal RNA is filed under the name uncultured Glomus. RNAcentral's name for it is "SSU rRNA". It matches the Rfam family "Eukaryotic small subunit ribosomal RNA", at positions 569 to 1081 of the family's 1831-position model. The record is from RNAcentral. Lineage: Eukaryota; Fungi; Glomeromycota; Glomeromycetes; Glomerales; Glomeraceae.
AGCAGCCGCGGUAAUUCCAGCUCCAAUAGCGUAUAUUAAAGUUGUUGCAGUUAAAAAGCUCGUAGUUGAAUUUCGGGGUCAGUAGGUUGGUCAUGCCACUGGUAUGUACUGGUCUCACUGAUUCCUCCUUCCUGAUGAGCCGUAAUGCCAUUAAUUUGGUGUUGCGAGGAAUCUGGACUGUUACUUUGAAAAAAUUAGAGUGUUUAAAGCAAGCUAACGCUUGAAUACAUUAGCAUGGAAUAAUGAAAUAGGACGUUCGAUCCUAUUUUGUUGGUUUCUAGGAUUGACGUAAUGAUUAAUAGGGAUAGUUGGGGGCAUUAGUAUUCAAUUGUCAGAGGUGAAAUUCUUGGAUUUAUUGAAGACUAACUACUGCGAAAGCAUUUGCCAAGGAUGUUUUCAUUAAUCAAGAACGAAAGUUAGGGGAUCGAAGACGAUCAGAUACCGUCGUAGUCUUAACCAUAAACUAUGCCGACUAGGGAUCGGAUGAUGUUAACUUUUUAAUGACUCAUUC